Small nucleolar RNA from Neogobius melanostomus (round goby), 133 nucleotides. Lineage: Eukaryota; Metazoa; Chordata; Actinopteri; Gobiiformes; Gobiidae. The record is from Ensembl.
UUGGCCCCAAUCAAGACCUGUCGCUUGCAGUAGCUGCUGGUUUCAAAGGGCGCCCACAUGAACUCCUUCCAAUGGUCUGUUGGUUUCUCCGGAGUCUCAAAGGGGUGAAUCAAUUCAGUUGGAAGGCACAGAC